GACGAACGCUGGCGGCGUGCCUAAUACAUGCAAGUAGAACGCACAGUUUAUACCGUAGCUUGCUCCACCAUAGACUGUGAGUUGCGAACGGGUGAGUAACGCGUAGGUAACCUGCCUGGUAGCGGGGGAUAACUAUUGGAAACGAUAGCUAAUACCGCAUAAUAUUGAUUAUUGCAUGAUAAUUAAUUGAAAGGUGCAAUUGCACCACUACCAGAUGGACCUGCGUUGUAUUAGCUAGUAGGUGAGGUAACGGCUCACCUAGGCGACGAUACAUAGCCGACCUGAGAGGGUGAUCGGCCACACUGGGACUGAGACACGGCCCAGACUCCUACGGGAGGCAGCAGUAGGGAAUCUUCGGCAAUGGACGAAAGUCUGACCGAGCAACGCCGCGUGAGUGAAGAAGGUUUUCGGAUCGUAAAGCUCUGUUGUAAGAGAAGAACGGGUGUGAGAGUGGAAAGUUCACACUGUGACGGUAUCUUACCAGAAAGGGACGGCUAACUACGU
Molecule: ribosomal RNA, 504 nt
Filed under: uncultured bacterium
Lineage: Bacteria
Description: partial 16S ribosomal RNA
Rfam family: Bacterial small subunit ribosomal RNA
Source: RNAcentral